GACGAACGCUGGCGGCGUGCUUAACACAUGCAAGUCGAACGGAAAGGCCCUGCUUUUGUGGGGUGCUCGAGUGGCGAACGGGUGAGUAACACGUGAGUAACCUGCCCUUGACUUUGGGAUAACUUUAGGAAACUGGGGCUAAUACCGGAUAGGAUCUCCUGCUGCAUGGUGGGGGUUGGAAAGUUUCGGCGGUUGGGGAUGUACUCGCGGCUUAUCAGCUUGUUGGUGGGGUAGUUGCUUACCAAGGGUUUGACGGGUAGCCGGCCUGAGAGGGUGGACGGCGACAUUGGGACUGAGGUAGGGACCAGAAUCCUACGGGAGGCAGCAGUGGGGAACAUUGCAGAAUGGGCGGAAGCCUGAUGCAGCAACGCCGCGUGCGGGAUGACGGCCUUCGGGUUAUAAACAGCUUUCGACUGUGACGAAGAGUGAGUGACGGUAAUGGGUAAAGAAGCACCGGCUAACUACGUG
RNAcentral lists this ribosomal RNA (468 nucleotides) under uncultured bacterium. Its description in RNAcentral is "partial 16S ribosomal RNA". It matches the Rfam family "Bacterial small subunit ribosomal RNA", at positions 28 to 507 of the family's 1533-position model. The record is from RNAcentral.